RNAcentral lists this ribosomal RNA (578 nucleotides) under uncultured eukaryote. RNAcentral describes it as "bacterial SSU rRNA". It matches the Rfam family "Eukaryotic small subunit ribosomal RNA", at positions 21 to 566 of the family's 1831-position model. The record is from RNAcentral.
CGAUUGUAGUCAUAUGCUUGUCUCAAAGAUUAAGCCAUGCAUGUCUAAGUAUAAACUACUUGUUAUACGGUGAAACUGCAGAUGGCUCAUUAAAUCAGCAAUAGUUUAUUUGAUGGUUACCUUUUACUACAUGGAUAGCCGUAGUAAUUCUAGAGCUAAUACAUGCGUAUAAUCCGGGAAGUAAAUGUAUCGGAGUAUUUAUUAGAUACCGAAAACCAACGUUAAGUAAUACGAUGGUGAGUCAUAAUAACUGUUAACGGACCGCGACUUAAAUGUCCUUCUCACGAGGGACUGCGGCAGUUCAUUCAAAUUUCUGCCCUAUCAGCUUUCGAAGGUAGUGUAGUGGACUACCUUGGCAGUGACGGGUGACGGAGAAUUAGGGUUCGAUUCCGGAGAGGGAGCCUGAGAAAUCGCUACCACAUCCAAGGAAGGCAGCAGGCGCGCAAAUUACCCAAUCCUGACUCAGGGAGGUAGUGAACAGAAAUAAGGAGGCUGGGCCCUUUUUAAACAGGGUUCGGUCAUCGGAAUGAGUACAAUUUAAAGCCAUUAACGAAAACCAUUGGAGGGCAAGUCUGGUA